UACGGAGGGCGCAAGCGUUGUUCGGAAUCAUUGGGCGUAAAGCGCGUGUAGGCGGCUUGGCAAGUCGAGUGUGAAAGCCCGGGGCUCAACCCCGGAAGGUCGCUCGAAACUGCCUCGCUAGAGUCCCGGAGAGGAAGGCGGAAUUCCCGGUGUAGAGGUGAAAUUCGUAGAUAUCGGGAGGGACACCAGCGGCGAAGGCGGCCUUCUGGACGGUGACUGACGCUGAGACGCGAAAGCGUGGGGAGCAAACAGG
This 253-nucleotide ribosomal RNA is filed under the name uncultured bacterium. RNAcentral describes it as "partial 16S ribosomal RNA". It matches the Rfam family "Bacterial small subunit ribosomal RNA", at positions 524 to 776 of the family's 1533-position model. The record is from RNAcentral.